AACGAACGCUGGCGGCAUGCCUAACACAUGCAAGUCGAACGAGACCUUCGGGUCUAGUGGCGCACGGGUGCGUAACGCGUGGGAACCUGCCCUUAGGUUCGGAAUAACUCCCCGAAAGGGGUGCUAAUACCGGAUAAUGUCUUCGGACCAAAGAUUUAUCGCAUUUGGAUGGGCCCGCGUUGGAUUAGCUAGUUGGUAGGGUAAAAGCCUACCAAGGCGACGAUCCAUAGCUGGUCUGAGAGGAUGAUCAGCCACACUGGGACUGAGACACGGCCCAGACUCCUACGGGAGGCAGCAGUAGGGAAUAUUGGACAAUGGGCUAAAGCCUGAUCCAGCAAUGCCGCGUGAGUGAUGAAGGCCUUAGGGUUGUAAAGCUCUUUUACCCGGGAUGAUAAUGACAGUACCGGGAGAAUAAGCUCCGGCUAACUCCGUG
RNAcentral lists this ribosomal RNA (433 nucleotides) under uncultured bacterium. RNAcentral describes it as "partial 16S ribosomal RNA". It matches the Rfam family "Bacterial small subunit ribosomal RNA", at positions 29 to 507 of the family's 1533-position model. The record is from RNAcentral.